UACGGAGGGUGCAAACGUUGCUCGGAAUCAUUGGGCGUAAAGCGAACGUAGGCGGCUUUGUAAGUCGGGAGUGAAAGCCCUCGGCUCAACCGAGGAAGUGCUUUCGAAACUGCAAGGCUUGAAUAUCGGAGAGGGUAGCGGAAUUCCCGGUGUAGAGGUGAAAUUCGUAGAUAUCGGGAGGAACACCAGUGGCGAAGGCGGCUACCUGGACGAAUAUUGACGCUGAAGUUCGAAAGCGUGGGGAGCAAACAGGAUUAGAUACCCUGGUAGUCCACGCCGUAAACGAUGAGUGCUAGGUGUCGCGGGUAUUGACCCCUGCGGUGCCGCAGUUAACGCAUUAAGCACUCCGCCUGGGGAGUACGGCCGCAAGGCUAAA
RNAcentral lists this ribosomal RNA (376 nucleotides) under uncultured bacterium. RNAcentral's name for it is "bacterial SSU rRNA". It matches the Rfam family "Bacterial small subunit ribosomal RNA", at positions 524 to 898 of the family's 1533-position model. The record is from RNAcentral.